CCAUGAGAAGUGGAUGGUAGACAUGUCCUCCUGCUGGAGAUUUGUCUGUGAGCAGGAGUUAAUGGACUUUACUUAACUUGCUGCAAUUGUGAAAGAACUGGACGAGGUGAAAGAAAUCUGCGAGCUGCAGCGGCGAUGAGUAGCAAACAGCCAAAGAU
Molecule: long non-coding RNA, 158 nt
Organism: Thalassophryne amazonica
Lineage: Eukaryota; Metazoa; Chordata; Actinopteri; Batrachoidiformes; Batrachoididae
Exons: 3
Source: RefSeq, a predicted model, not a curated record